RNAcentral lists this ribosomal RNA (388 nucleotides) under uncultured bacterium. RNAcentral describes it as "bacterial SSU rRNA". It matches the Rfam family "Bacterial small subunit ribosomal RNA", at positions 28 to 417 of the family's 1533-position model. The record is from RNAcentral.
GACGAACGCUGGCGGCGUGCUUAACACAUGCAAGUCGAGCGGUAAGGCCCUUUCGGGGGUACACGAGCGGCGAACGGGUGAGUAACACGUAGGUGACCUGCCCUUAGCUCUGGGAUAAGCCUGGGAAACUGGGUCUAAUACCGGAUAUGACUCCAUGACGCAUGUUGUGGGGUGGAAAGCCUUGUGCGGCUAGGGGAUGGGCCCGCGGCCUAUCAGCUUGUUGGUGGGGUGANGGCCUACCAAGGCGACGACGGGUAGCCGGCCUGAGAGGGCGACCGGCCACACUGGGACUGAGACACGGCCCAGACUCCUACGGGAGGCAGCAGUGGGGAAUCUUGCGCAAUGGGCGAAAGCCUGACGCAGCGACGCCGCGUGGGGAUGACGGCCU